Molecule: transfer RNA, 82 nt
Filed under: Oryctolagus cuniculus (rabbit)
Lineage: Eukaryota; Metazoa; Chordata; Mammalia; Lagomorpha; Leporidae
Rfam family: tRNA
About the family: Transfer RNA (tRNA) molecules are approximately 80 nucleotides in length. Their secondary structure includes four short double-helical elements and three loops (D, anti-codon, and T loops).
Source: Rfam by way of RNAcentral
GGUGCUGUGGCAUAGCAGGUAAAGCUACUGCCUGCAGUGCCAACAUCCCUUAUGAACGCCGGUUCGAAUCCUGCCUGCUCCA